AGUGGCGAACGGGUGAGUAACGCGUUGGUGACCUGCCCCAAAGUGUGGGAUAACAGUCCGAAAGGAUUGCUAAUACCGCAUGUGGUCAUUGGUUAGAAACUAAUGACUAAAGCAGCAAUGUGCUUUGGGAGGGACCUGCGUCCCAUCAGCUAGUUGGUGAGGUAAUGGCUCACCAAGGCGACGACGGGUAGGGGACCUGAGAGGGUGACCCCCCACAAUGGAACUGAAACACGGUCCAUACACCUACGGGUGGCAGCAGUAGGGAAUAUUGCUCAAUGGGCGAAAGCCUGAAGCAGCAACGCCGCGUGCGCGAUGAAGGUCUUCGGAUCGUAAAGCGCUUUUCUGCGAGAUGAGAAAGGACAGUAUCGUAGGAAUAAGUCUCGGCUAACUACGUGCCAGCAGCCGCGGUAACACGUAGGAGGCGAGCGUUAUCCGGAUUCACUGGGCGUAAAGCGCGUGCAGGCGGUUUGGUAAGUUGGGCGUGAAAGCUCCCGGCUCAACUGGGAGAGGUCGUUCAAUACUACCAAACUAGAGAAUAGAAGAGGAAGAUGGAAUUCCCGGUGUAGUGGUGAAAUGCGUAGAUAUCGGGAGGAACACCAGUGGCGAAGGCGGUCUUCUGGUCUAUUUC
This 628-nucleotide ribosomal RNA is filed under the name uncultured bacterium. RNAcentral describes it as "bacterial SSU rRNA". It matches the Rfam family "Bacterial small subunit ribosomal RNA", at positions 94 to 740 of the family's 1533-position model. The record is from RNAcentral.